RNAcentral lists this ribosomal RNA (235 nucleotides) under uncultured bacterium. Its description in RNAcentral is "partial 16S ribosomal RNA". It matches the Rfam family "Bacterial small subunit ribosomal RNA", at positions 1268 to 1500 of the family's 1533-position model. The record is from RNAcentral.
CAAAACUCAAAAACUUAGUCUCAGUUCGGAUUGUAGGCUGAAACUCGCCUACAUGAAGCUGGAGUUGCUAGUAAUCGCGAAUCAGCAUGUCGCGGUGAAUACGUUCCCGGGCCUUGUACACACCGCCCGUCACACCAUGAGAGUUGGCAAUACCCAACGUACGUGAUCUAACCCGCAAGGGAGGAAGCGUCCUAAGGUAGGGUCAGCGAUUGGGGUGAAGUCGUAACAAGGUAGC